This 322-nucleotide ribosomal RNA is filed under the name Aphaenops jeannelianus. Its description in RNAcentral is "Geotrechus jeanneli partial 16S ribosomal RNA". The record is from RNAcentral. Lineage: Eukaryota; Metazoa; Arthropoda; Insecta; Coleoptera; Carabidae.
AAUGGCUGCAGUAAUUUGACUGUACAAAGGUAGCAUAAUCAUUAGUUUUUUAAUUAAAAGCUUGAAUGAAGGGUUGAACGAAGUAAAAUCUGUCUCUUUAUAAUAUAAUUAGAAUUUAAUUUUUAAGUUAAAAAGCUUAAAUUUUUUUAAAAGACGAGAAGACCCUAUAGAGUUUUAUAAUUUUUAAAAAAUAAUUAAUUAAGAUUUAUUUUUUUUAUUUUUUAAAAAUUAUUUUAUUGGGGUAAUAAUAAGAUUUAAUUAAUUCUUUUUUUUUAACCAUUAAUUUAUGAAAUAUAUGAUCCAUUAUUUUUAUGAUUAUAAG